RNAcentral lists this ribosomal RNA (253 nucleotides) under Roseburia inulinivorans DSM 16841. RNAcentral describes it as "partial 16S ribosomal RNA". It matches the Rfam family "Bacterial small subunit ribosomal RNA", at positions 524 to 776 of the family's 1533-position model. Lineage: Bacteria; Bacillati; Bacillota; Clostridia; Lachnospirales; Lachnospiraceae. The record is from RNAcentral.
UACGUAUGGUGCAAGCGUUAUCCAGAUUUACUGGGUGUAAAGGGAGCGCAGGCGGAAGGCUAAGUCUGAUGUGAAAGCCCGGGGCUCAACCCCGGUACUGCAUUGGAAACUGGUCAUCUAGAGUGUCGGAGGGGUAAGUGGAAUUCCUAGUGUAGCGGUGAAAUGCGUAGAUAUUAGGAGGAACACCAGUGGCGAAGGCGGCUUACUGGACGAUAACUGACGCUGAGGCUCGAAAGCGUGGGGAGCAAACAGG